Molecule: long non-coding RNA, 1909 nt
Organism: Oryctolagus cuniculus (rabbit)
Lineage: Eukaryota; Metazoa; Chordata; Mammalia; Lagomorpha; Leporidae
Source: Ensembl
CAGCAGAGUUGUUUGCCAAAGAGUGACUAUCAAGGCCUUGACUAAUGUUCUAAGGAGGGCACAAUGUUCCACUCCCAAAACAAUGUAACCCAGUGGUUUUCAGCAAGGAAACUGAUAAAUUUCCCAAAGGAAUUCCUUACUGUCAGUAAGACCUCUGAAAAUUCACUAGUGAGAAUAAAUGCCACGAAAUCUAACAUUAGUAUUCUGAACUGAAUUUGCUUAUGCCAGACCUCUAAACAAUAAAUUGUGUUCUGCUGUGUUGCUAUGCCCGUUCAUGAGGCAAGCCAUUUUAAAGUAAAGCAUCUUGGAGAUUCCAUAAGAGCAGAAUGUGGAAGGGGUGUACUGCUUUAGGCUAGGGGAAAACAGCAAAAAAAAAAAAAAAAUAGUGGAUGAAGUAUAUUCUUAGGGGAGACUUGGAGAGCAAACUACAGGAAGUGCUGAGGAAGGAAGAAGGACACCGUGGAUCAUGGUGGAAGGCCCACGUGGACGCAAAGCAGCAAGCACAGACACAGCACAUGACCCCAGGAGCCGAGAGCGGGAGACUGCACCAGCUUUGGAGAGUGAGCUGUCGGACACAUUGCUGGGGAAAGCCAGACAUGAGCCUCCUUCAGCACCGGACACAGCCUAGGAUCCUGCUGGGCUCAGGACCUCCCCUCCCAUCUCUAGUCCCACGAGGAAUGUUUGUUCCCGUUCUCUGCUGGGGGAGUUUUUUCAUGGCGGGGCCUCAUCCUCGACGAAGCUGUGGGACUCAGAGCCAGGCUCUGUGUGGCCCGACGAUCCUGCUGACCCCGGCCUCCUGUAGACCAUGGGCCGCCAUACCCCUGGCCGCAUUUCCAGCUUUUCAAGUGGGAAGAAACCACCCUGCGUCCCAGGACUUGCACUUCUGUGGGCCAUCCUCAGCAAGACAUUUUCAUGGAUAUGAAACUGGACACCGAGUUGACGCUGCAGUUCAGCUGCUGGGUAAUCUUCCAUUUCUGGAACCUCCUUGGCUUCCUGGUAAAACCCAGCUGUGCCUUCACCCUGGACAGGAGCAACUGGUUAGUACAUGUGGCUGCGCCCUGUUGAUGGCAACCCUUGGGCCCAAAGGGGAACGGAGGGAAGGGAAGGGAACCCUGUUCCCUGCAGUUGGGCUGGCCAGGCUGAGAACAAGGUGGACUUCCAACCUUUGGGAUGGAGGGUCAACUCGGGGAGCCCUAUAUACAUGUGGAGACAGAAUGUGGGGGCCUAGCAUUCCUAGAAUUGAGUGGGGGCCACAGAGACAGAAGUGAAUAAGAUGUUGGUGAAUGAGUUCCCUGGUUCUUUGUAGUUUAUUAAGGCCCAUAGAACAUGCUAAGCAGGGAAGACUGGGUUUCCAGGCAGUGGGAGGGAGACCUGGAAGGAAAACUUCAUGUGUUGACUCAGAGUACAAAACAUAAGAUGUCUCGUUUUAGGAGACCUGGUAAUAGUUUUUGGGUUUUAGAAUUUCAAGCUAAGGAUAAUUGGAUUGCAAGUACUUCAUGCAGCGGCAGUAGAGAGUUAGAUGCUAUGGAAGAACCUGGGUCAUGCAAGGUUUGGGGAGCUGAAAACAGGUUAUUUCUGUAUGUCACUAUCCUAUGAUAGGUAAAAUGGAAGGAUUGUGGAUAGGAAGGCAGGUGACUUUGAGGAGAGUUGUAAUAGGGAGGAGCUGGUAGGUCUACAUGUAAGAACCAGUGGAACAUCAUAGUGUGAUAUCCGGGACAGGGCCUGGGGAGAAACCUUAGGAAAGGUGAGGGAAAGGAUAUCAGGAGGCGGGCAGAGGGAACUUCCAGGAGGGACUGGGGAAUGGGUGCUGAGUUAAUCAGGAAAUUUGAGCAAAGUCUACAGAGUACCAAGAGAUGGAGAGGAUCUUAUCUGAAAUAAAAUAAGGGUUGAUAGGGGCUUGGGAACCUGG